This 274-nucleotide ribosomal RNA is filed under the name uncultured bacterium. RNAcentral's name for it is "partial 16S ribosomal RNA". It matches the Rfam family "Bacterial small subunit ribosomal RNA", at positions 523 to 796 of the family's 1533-position model. The record is from RNAcentral.
AUACGGAGGGUGCAAGCGUUACUCGGAAUCACUGGGCGUAAAGCGCGCGCAGGCGGGCUGAUAAGUUGGAUGUGAAAGCCUACGGCUCAACCGUAGAACUGCAUCCAAAACUGUCAGUCUAGAGUGUGUGAGAGGAAGAUGGAAUUAGUUGUGUAGGGGUAAAAUCCGUAGAGAUAACUAGGAAUACCAAAAGCGAAGGCAAUCUUCUGGAACACUACUGACGCUGAGGCGCGAAGGCGUGGGGAGCAAACAGAAGUAGAAACCCUAGUAGUCC